AUGGCUGUCGUCAGCUCGUGUCGUGAGAUGUUGGGUUAAGUCCCGCAACGAGCGCAACCCUCGCCUCUAGUUGCCAGCACGAAGGUGGGCACUCUAGAGGGACUGCCGGCGACAAGUCGGAGGAAGGUGGGGAUGACGUCAAAUCAUCAUGCCCCUUAUGACCUGGGCUACACACGUGCUACAAUGGGCGGUACAAAGGGCUGCGAACCCGCGAGGGGGAGCGAAUCCCAAAAAGCCGCUCUCAGUUCGGAUUGCAGGCUGCAACUCGCCUGCAGAAGCCGGAAUCGCUAGUAAUCGCGA
RNAcentral lists this ribosomal RNA (300 nucleotides) under uncultured bacterium. Its description in RNAcentral is "bacterial SSU rRNA". It matches the Rfam family "Bacterial small subunit ribosomal RNA", at positions 1045 to 1347 of the family's 1533-position model. The record is from RNAcentral.